ACCGAAGCCCGUACCCGCUUCCGGGCGUGACGGGUGGCUGGGUAUCCUCCUUCUGAGGGGUGUAUGGCGCAGCUUGGGCCGGCCUUUGUUGGUCGUGAAUCCCCAGCGCUGCGGCGGACCAUCCCUUGGGCAAUUCAGUGGGGGCAAUUGGAUAGCUUGUGGGCACCUUUGGCGGCUUCGGCCCCGGGGGUGGUUCGGGCUCGGCGUUGGGCUUCGGUCCGCGCCCCGACCUUUUAACUAGCUCUGAGACCUCUUCAUUGAGGGUUGCCGGCAGCCUUUUGCCUUUCGGGGUGGGAGGGUGACCCGGGAAAAGAUAGUUACCUGGUUGAUUCUGCCAGUAGUCAUAUGCUUGUCUCAA
This 358-nucleotide unclassified non-coding RNA is filed under the name Cladonia signata. Its description in RNAcentral is "partial 28S-18S ribosomal RNA intergenic spacer". Lineage: Eukaryota; Fungi; Ascomycota; Lecanoromycetes; Lecanorales; Cladoniaceae. The record is from RNAcentral.